This 330-nucleotide ribosomal RNA is filed under the name uncultured Streptococcus sp. RNAcentral describes it as "bacterial SSU rRNA". It matches the Rfam family "Bacterial small subunit ribosomal RNA", at positions 1051 to 1382 of the family's 1533-position model. Lineage: Bacteria; Bacillati; Bacillota; Bacilli; Lactobacillales; Streptococcaceae. The record is from RNAcentral.
GUCGUCAGCUCGUGUCGUGAGAUGUUGGGUUAAGUCCCGCAACGAGCGCAACCCCUAUUGUUAGUUGCCAUCAUUCAGUUGGGCACUCUAGCGAGACUGCCGGUAAUAAACCGGAGGAAGUGGGGAGUGACGUCAAAUCAUCAUGCCCCUUAUGACCUGGGCUACACACGUGCUACAAUGGUUGGUACAACGAGUUGCGAGUCGGUGACGGCGAGCUAAUCUCUUAAAGCCAAUCUCAGUUCGGAUUGUAGGCUGCAACUCGCCUACAUGAAGUCGGAAUCGCUAGUAAUCGCGGAUCAGCACGCCGCGGUGAAUACGUUCCCGGGCCUU